GAUGAGCGCUGGCGGCGUGCCUAAUACAUGCAAGUCGAGCGAACGGACGAGAAGCUUGCUUCUCUGAUGUUAGCGGCGGACGGGUGAGUAACACGUGGAUAACCUACCUAUAAGACUGGGAUAACUUCGGGAAACCGGAGCUAAUACCGGAUAAUAUUUUGAACCGCAUGGUUCAAAAGUGAAAGACGGUCUUGCUGUCACUUAUAGAUGUAUCCACGCUGCAUUAGCUAGUUGGUAAGGUAACGGCUUACCAAGGCAACGAUGCGUAGCAGACCUGAGAGGGUGAUCGGCCACACUGGAACUGAGACACGGUCCAGACUCCUACGGGAGGCAGCAGUGGGGAAUCUUCCACAAUGGGCGAAAGCCUGACGGAGCAACGCCGCGUGAGUGAUGAAGGUCUUCGGAUCGUAAAACUCUGUUAUUAGGGAAGAACAUAUGUGUAAGUAACUGUGCACAUCUUGACGGUACCUAAUCAGAAAGCCACGGCUAACUACGUG
Molecule: ribosomal RNA, 497 nt
Filed under: uncultured bacterium
Lineage: Bacteria
Description: partial 16S ribosomal RNA
Rfam family: Bacterial small subunit ribosomal RNA
Source: RNAcentral